AGGGACUGUAUCAUACAUUAACUGCACCUAGAGGUUUAUCACCUUUUAUUCUACUGGGUUGUCACCACAUACUGCUAGAUAUCACUGGUAGAUUGUGAGACCUACGAGCAUUAUCUCGAUGAUCGAUGAUCUUUGAUGGGUAGAGUUGGAAUAGUUCCAACCCAUUGAAAGAAGUUUUAAUGAUAUUGUGAUAGAGAUCACAAUAUAUCUCACUAAUAGACAGAAUAGAACCUAUGGGGUCAUACACAA
Molecule: long non-coding RNA, 249 nt
Filed under: Elaeis guineensis (African oil palm)
Lineage: Eukaryota; Viridiplantae; Streptophyta; Magnoliopsida; Arecales; Arecaceae
Description: long non-coding RNA (EGUI_LNC079561)
Source: RNAcentral